UGUGUGUGUGUGUGUGUGUGUGUGUGUGUGUCCUGUCUUCUUCUUUGUGUCCACUGUUUCUCUGCUGGGCUGUUCUUUACAGUCCCAUCAUACACACACACUCACACAUCCACACACCCACACA
Molecule: microRNA precursor, 124 nt
Filed under: Marmota monax (woodchuck)
Lineage: Eukaryota; Metazoa; Chordata; Mammalia; Rodentia; Sciuridae
Source: RNAcentral